RNAcentral lists this small nucleolar RNA (133 nucleotides) under Mus caroli (Ryukyu mouse). RNAcentral describes it as "predicted gene, 25076 (MGP_CAROLIEiJ_G0036504.1)". It matches the Rfam family "Small nucleolar RNA SNORA17". From Rfam's summary of the family: snoRNA ACA 17 belongs to the H/ACA family of snoRNAs and is predicted to guide pseudouridylation of the 28S rRNA at positions U4659 and U4598. It shares the same host gene together with ACA43. Lineage: Eukaryota; Metazoa; Chordata; Mammalia; Rodentia; Muridae. The record is from RNAcentral.
CACGCCCCCAGAGGCCUUGCAGGUGUGGCUGCUGUUUCACGUGUGCAUCAGUAGGUGGCAGAGCAGAGGGCGGUUACGUCUUACGCUCAAUGUUCUGACCUGUGAACAUCUGAAUGUUGUGUAGCCUAACAUU